RNAcentral lists this ribosomal RNA (338 nucleotides) under uncultured bacterium. RNAcentral describes it as "bacterial SSU rRNA". It matches the Rfam family "Bacterial small subunit ribosomal RNA", at positions 93 to 431 of the family's 1533-position model. The record is from RNAcentral.
GAGUGGCGGACGGGUGAGUAACGCGUGGGUAACCUGCCUCAUACAGGGGGAUAACAGUUAGAAAUGACUGCUAAUACCGCAUAAGACCACGGAGUCGCAUGGCUCAGUGGGAAAAACUCCGGUGGUAUGAGAUGGACCCGCGUCUGAUUAGGUAGUUGGUGGGGUAACGGCCUACCAAGCCAACGAUCAGUAGCCGACCUGAGAGGGUGACCGGCCACAUUGGGACUGAGACACGGCCCAAACUCCUACGGGAGGCAGCAGUGGGGAAUAUUGCACAAUGGGGGAAACCCUGAUGCAGCGACGCCGCGUGAGCGAAGAAGUAUUUCGGUAUGUAAAGC